Molecule: non-coding RNA, 1062 nt
Organism: Chlorocebus sabaeus (green monkey)
Lineage: Eukaryota; Metazoa; Chordata; Mammalia; Primates; Cercopithecidae
Source: RefSeq, a predicted model, not a curated record
UCUCCCCGCUGCUCUCCGUCUGUCUCGCUGCCGCUCCUGAGGAGCGGGAACCGGAGCCGGAGCGGGAACCGGAGGCAGCGAGCCGGGGAAUGCCGGCCCGAGCGCAGCCGUGCGCGGACAGCGCGCCCGGGAUGCCUCCUGCGCCCACAGGCCCUGAGGCUCCAGUGCCCACAGGUGGAGAGGGCAACUGAAUCCAGCUCAGGCUAAGCCCCACCCAGCUGUACUUCCCAGAUACCCACCCAACCCUAGAAUGGGACAACAGAAGAAGUGACUUCAAAAGAAAAGGAAGAAGAGAUGGCUGAAAUUAUAAAUAUCAUUUCUUAAAACUGGACAGAAAUGGAAAUGUUUACUAGCCUUAUUUUGUGAAACUCAAAUGCAAUCAAGUUCCAAAAGAUGUAGGACGCAAGAUAGGAUGAGUUUGCUUGUUUUUUGGAUUUGAAGAAAUUAUUUUUGUAGGUCCAUCGGAAUUUUUUUGUCAUCUUCCUGAUAGAGUGAACAUUUACAUGAUUUUUAUCUUCUGGCAAAAAGCUUGAACAAUAUUGCCUGGGUUGACCCUGACAGUGCUUUGCACAGUGAUCUUCAGAUUGUAAAAGAAAAAGAAGGGAUAGGAGACAUUUUGCUCAACUUAUCUUUUAAGAAACUGUUGUGGUUGUCAACUGGAUUGUCUUCCUAAAGUAUGAAUCCGGUAUAUAUUGAUUGAAGUUGUUAAUGGCUACUUCUUUACGGAUUCAUAUGGGGGAACGAAUGAAGCACCCAGGCCUACAACAAAAAACAAAACACAAAAAAAACAGGAAGGUAUGUAUUGGGUGGAGGAGCAUUAUAUAUGGAACUUCUCACAAAACAGGGCUGAAGCAGUGCCUACUCAAUAGAAUCAGUCAUCAUGCAAAUAAAUGCCACCUGAGUCAAAGGCAAAGCCAGUGUGCAGCUUGGAGCAAAGAAGUUACUUUUAUUAAGAAUUUUAUAAUAUAUGCACCCAAUACAGGAGCACCCAGAUUCAUAAAGCAAGUCCUUAGAGACUUACAAAGAGACUUAGACUCCCAUACAAUAAUAAUGGGAGACUUC